UCACCGGACACGGGGUGCCCCGCGGGGGCUGAGAUCACACCCGUCGAACCUGAACCAGCUCGUACUGGCGGAGGGAUGUCUUCCAUGUCAUUG
Molecule: non-coding RNA, 93 nt
Filed under: Streptomyces sp.
Lineage: Bacteria; Bacillati; Actinomycetota; Actinomycetes; Kitasatosporales; Streptomycetaceae
Description: TPP sequence
Rfam family: TPP riboswitch aptamer (THI element)
About the family: Vitamin B(1) in its active form thiamin pyrophosphate (TPP) is an essential coenzyme that is synthesised by coupling of pyrimidine and thiazole moieties in bacteria. The previously detected thiamin-regulatory element, thi box was extended, resulting in a new, highly conserved RNA secondary structure, the THI element, which is widely distributed in eubacteria and also occurs in some archaea.
Source: RNAcentral